CAGCCGCCACGGUAAUACGUAGGGUGCGAGCGUUAAUCGGAAUUACUGGGCGUAAAGCGUGCGCAGGCGGUUAUAUAAGACAGAUGUGAAAUCCCCGGGCUCAACCUGGGACCUGCAUUUGUGACUGUAUAGCUAGAGUACGGUAGAGGGGGAUGGAAUUCCGCGUGUAGCAGUGAAAUGCGUAGAUAUGCGGAGGAACACCGAUGGCGAAGGCAAUCCCCUGGACCUGUACUGACGCUCAUGCACGAAAGCGUGGGGAGCAAACAGGAUUAGAUACCCGUGUAGUCCCUGUCUCUUAUAC
RNAcentral lists this ribosomal RNA (301 nucleotides) under uncultured bacterium. RNAcentral describes it as "partial 16S ribosomal RNA". It matches the Rfam family "Bacterial small subunit ribosomal RNA", at positions 509 to 807 of the family's 1533-position model. The record is from RNAcentral.